AGAGCGAUAGUUCAACUGGAAGAACACCUAGUGGCCAACUAGGAGGAUGUGGGUUCGAAUCCUGUCUCGCUCUU
RNAcentral lists this transfer RNA (74 nucleotides) under Aureispira sp. RNAcentral describes it as "tRNA-Gly". It matches the Rfam family "tRNA". From Rfam's summary of the family: Transfer RNA (tRNA) molecules are approximately 80 nucleotides in length. Their secondary structure includes four short double-helical elements and three loops (D, anti-codon, and T loops). Further hydrogen bonds mediate the characteristic L-shaped molecular structure. tRNAs have two regions of fundamental functional importance: the anti-codon, which is responsible for specific mRNA codon recognition, and the 3' end, to which the tRNAs corresponding amino acid is attached (by aminoacyl-tRNA synthetases). tRNAs cope with the degeneracy of the genetic code in two manners: having more than one tRNA (with a specific anti-codon) for a particular amino acid; and 'wobble' base-pairing, i.e. permitting non-standard base-pairing at the 3rd anti-codon position. Lineage: Bacteria; Pseudomonadati; Bacteroidota; Saprospiria; Saprospirales; Saprospiraceae. The record is from RNAcentral. RNAcentral also lists the same sequence under 1 other name.